ACGGGAGGCAGCAGUGGGGAAUAUUGGGCAGUGGGCGCAAGCCUGACCCAGCAAUGCCGCGUGAAGGAAGAAGGCUUUCGGGUUGUAAACUUCUUUUAAGAGGGACGAUAAUGACGGUACCACUUGAAUAAGCUCCGGCUAACUACGUGCCAGCAGCCGCGGUAAUACGUAGGGAGCAAGCGUUAUCCGGAUUUACUGGGUGUAAAGGGCGUGUAGGCGGUACAUCAAGUCAGAUGUGAAAGCCCGAAGCUCAACUUCGUGGCUGCAUUUGAAACUGAUUAUCUUGAGUGUUGGAGAGGUAAGUGGAACUCCUAGUGUAGCGGUGAAAUGCGUAGAUAUUAGGAAGAACACCAGUGGCGAAGGCGGUUAGCUGGACAAUAACUGACGCUGAGGCGCGAAAGCGUGGGUAGCAAACAGGAUUAGAUACCCUGGUA
This 434-nucleotide ribosomal RNA is filed under the name uncultured Oscillospiraceae bacterium. RNAcentral describes it as "bacterial SSU rRNA". It matches the Rfam family "Bacterial small subunit ribosomal RNA", at positions 341 to 792 of the family's 1533-position model. The record is from RNAcentral. Lineage: Bacteria; Bacillati; Bacillota; Clostridia; Eubacteriales; Oscillospiraceae.